AAUUUAUUCUUUCUCAUAUCUAAAAAAUUAAAUAAGUUAAAAACCCCCCAAAAAUGUAAUAUUCUCGUAGCUACGCAUAAAGCAUAGCAUAGGUUCGUAGCAGGUAGUUGAAAACAUU
This is a non-coding RNA of Schizosaccharomyces pombe (fission yeast), 118 nucleotides long. Lineage: Eukaryota; Fungi; Ascomycota; Schizosaccharomycetes; Schizosaccharomycetales; Schizosaccharomycetaceae. The record is from the annotation of a GenBank genome assembly.